UACGAAGGGGGCUAGCGUUGCUCGGAAUCAUUGGGCGUAAAGAGCUCGUAGGCGGUUUGUCGCGUCUGCCGUGAAAGUCCGGGGCUCAACUCCGGAUCUGCGGUGGGUACGGGCAGACUAGAGUGAUGUAGGGGAGACUGGAAUUCCUGGUGUAGCGGUGAAAUGCGUAGAUAUUCGGAAGAACACCAGUGGCGAAGGCGACUUACUGGACGACUGUUGACGCUGAGGUGCGAAAGCGUGGGGAGCAAACAGG
Molecule: ribosomal RNA, 253 nt
Filed under: uncultured bacterium
Lineage: Bacteria
Description: partial 16S ribosomal RNA
Rfam family: Bacterial small subunit ribosomal RNA
Source: RNAcentral